RNAcentral lists this unclassified non-coding RNA (219 nucleotides) under uncultured fungus. Its description in RNAcentral is "sequence contains ITS1, 5.8S rRNA gene". The stretch from base 171 to 219 matches the Rfam family "5.8S ribosomal RNA", at positions 1 to 49 of the family's 154-position model. Lineage: Eukaryota; Fungi. The record is from RNAcentral.
UCUCCGUUGGUGAACCAGCGGAGGGAUCAUUACAGAGUUAUCUAACUCCCAAACCAUUGUGAACUUACCAUAUGUUGCCUCGGCAGAACCUACCCUGUAGCGGGCUGCCGGCGGACCAAUAAACUCUUGUUAUUCUAUGGAUAUCUGAGCGUCUUAUUUUAAUAAGUCAAAACUUUCAACAACGGAUCUCUUGGUUCUGGCAUCGAUGAAGAACGCAGC